RNAcentral lists this ribosomal RNA (495 nucleotides) under uncultured bacterium. Its description in RNAcentral is "partial 16S ribosomal RNA". It matches the Rfam family "Bacterial small subunit ribosomal RNA", at positions 28 to 507 of the family's 1533-position model. The record is from RNAcentral.
GACGAACGCUGGCGGCGUGCCUAAUACAUGCAAGUAGAACGCUGAAGGCGGAGCUUGCUUCUCUGGAUGAGUUGCGAACGGGUGAGUAACGCGUAGGUAACCUGCCUGGUAGCGGGGGAUAACUAUUGGAAACGAUAGCUAAUACCGCAUAAUAGUAGAUGUUGCAUGACAUUUGCUUAAAAGGUGCAAUUGCAUCACUACCAGAUGGACCUGCGUUGUAUUAGCUAGUUGGUGAGGUAACGGCUCACCAAGGCAAAGAUACAUAGCCGACCUGGGAGGGGGGGCGGCCCCACUGGGAAUGGUGCACGGCCCAGAUUCCGACGGGAGGCAGCCGUAGGGCAUCCGCGGGGAUGGAGGGAAGACUGACCGAGCAACGCCGGGUGAGUGAAGAAGGUUCGCGGAUCGUGAAGCUCUGUCGUUAGAGAAGAACGAGGGUGAGGCUGGAAAGUUCACGCUGUGACGGUUACUUACCAAAAAGGGACGGCUUACUACGUU